Molecule: unclassified non-coding RNA, 312 nt
Filed under: Hevea brasiliensis (rubber tree)
Lineage: Eukaryota; Viridiplantae; Streptophyta; Magnoliopsida; Malpighiales; Euphorbiaceae
Source: RNAcentral
GCCAACAAACACUGUGACUAAUCCCGAAUAAAUCGGGAAAUGGUAUCACUGAGACAUGGGCAUUUCACUCUCCUUUUAACCCCGAUGGAUGAUAUCCAGAUGCCUAUCUGUACCGCCAUGAACACUAGUUGAGAGGGAUAACUCCCUUUUGUCAGAAGCAGAGACUCUCACAAUGAAGUUCAGCCACCACAGACAAUCAGAGAAAUAACACCUGUAAAACUCUACACGACCCAAUCAAAGGGCGGAGAGGUCGAGCCACCCUUCAGCUAGUGAAAGGGGAGGAGCCGUACCCUCCCAUAGGGCAGGGGACGA